Psammomys obesus (fat sand rat) is the source of this 3052-nucleotide long non-coding RNA. RefSeq lists it as uncharacterized. The transcript has 3 exons. The record is from RefSeq and is a predicted model, not a curated record. NCBI's taxonomy places the organism in Eukaryota, Metazoa, Chordata, Mammalia, Rodentia, Muridae.
UCUUAAAUCACAGAAUGGCUUCAAACUGUUCAAGAAGCUGCAGCAGAGUUCUGAGAACUGACUGCCUGGAGGCAAGCAGAAGGCUGGUAGAAAUGCAGAGAAAGUCUUUGAGGGAAUAAAAUAAAAUAAUGGACACUGCUGGAGAUGCUAUUGCAGAGUUCAAGCUACAGAGACAGACUUGAGUUGAGCUUUCAGGAAUAAAGAAGAAAGGUGUGCAAUCAUGGAGCUUGCCGAGGUGAAGAACAGGAUGGACUCCAGACAGAUAAAUGGACAGUAGGUCCAGACGACAGACAAACAGAAAAAAUGAAUACAGUCUCUGUGGAGCCAAUCUUUGCAAUGGUUUGGAUAGCUGUGUUAGUGGCUGCAAGAAAUAUAAAUCAGGUAUCAAAACAGUCCUGGAAAUCCCACCAGCUUUCUGUGCUUAAAAUGCUUAAUAAGCCUCCCUCCACUGAAGGCUCAGAGAGGUAGAAAGAUUGUAAGAGCCAGAAUGGGUAGAUGACUCCAGGGAAACAGUAUGUUCCAUUCACAAGACUGAUACACAUAUUUACCUACAGACACUGUGACCGCGUGCCCAAGGCCUACAGACAAGCUCAAACAAGACAAAACCCCAGCAUGAAAAAGAGGAGGUUGGCAUGAAAUCCUACUCUUAGUUAAUCUAUUUUCUAUUGAUAGCUGCUGGGAAAGGGAAAGCUCAGUUUUUUCCAAUGGAGUGGCACUGGAUUUCUUUUUUCUCUUUUCUCUGUGUUGUUUUUAUUUUUGUUUUGAAUUAUCUUUUUAAAGAAAGAGGAGAAAACAUGAAGUUUGGUGGUAAAGGGGAAUCUGGGAGGAGUUGAGGUAGUGGAAACAAUAUGAUGAAAAUGCGUUGUUUGAAGUUCUCAAAUGAAUAAAAGCAUAAAGAAAUCAAUAAAUUUUGCCUUGGAAUUAGAAAAGAAUUUCCAACAAUUUUGAAAUGACUCUAAGAAUGAUAAUUUCAAUAUCAAAAUAUCCAGCAAGUCUGAGAAACUUGUCCCUGGGACAAACCCAGCAGGAGUGAGCUGUGCCCUGUCCCCUGUGCACUCCAUUUUCUAGCCCACCUCUCUACCUGCAUUCCCAGAGGUCUACUGGCUACCAGGGACAACCAGAUGAGACCCCUUCCCACAAUCCCCUCCAUGCCAAGUCCCCCUAAAACACACUCAACAGCAGCAAUCUGUACCUGCUACUCUGAACUCCAUUUCCUUGCCCACAACUCUGCCUACAUUCUUGGAGGCCUACCAGCACCAGAAACAACCAGAUCGCUAAAGACCAGCAUAAAUAUACAAUCAACAAGAGCCAAGAAAAUAUGUUAUCACUAGAGCCCAGCUAUCCUACUAAAACAAGCCCUGGAUAUCCAAGCACAGCUGAAGCACAAGAAAGUGAUCCUAAAUACAAUCUUAUGCAGAUGACACAGAUGUUUAAGGAAGAAAUGAAUAAAUCUCUUAAAGAAAUACAGAAAAAUACAAUCAAACAGGUGAAGAAAAUGAAUAAAAAUGUAUCAAGACCUGAAAAUGCAAUUAGAAGCCAUAAAGAAAUUGCAAAUUGAGGGAAUUAUGGAGAUGGAAAACCUAGAUAAGAGAACAGAAACUACUGACACAAGCAUCACCAACAAAAUACAAGAGGUGGAAGAGAGACUCACAGGCUUAAAAAAUUCAAAGAAAAUAUUAAAUCUAAAAAGUUUCUGAUGCAAACCAUCCAGAAAAUUUGGGACACUAUGAAAACAUGAAACCUAAGAAUUAUAGAAUUAAAAGAAGAUGAUUCCCAGAUCAGAGGCCCAGAAAAUAUUUUUAACAAAAUCAUAGAAGAAAAUUUCCCUAACCUAAAGAAAGAGAUGCCAAAAAUGCACAAGAAGUUUACAGAACAAGAGAUUGGAGCAAAAAAGAAAAUCUUCCUGGUAUGUAAUAACUAACUAAAACACUGAAUGUACAGAACAAAGAAAGAAUAUUAAAAGCAGCAAAGAAAAAAAAAAGGCCAAGUAACAUAUAAAGGUAGACCUGGGAGAAUUAUACAUCACAUCUCAAAAGAGACUCUAAAAGCCAGAAGGGGCUGGGCAGAUAUAUUGCAGAUCUAACAGACCACAUAUGUCAACCCAAACUACUAUGCCCAGCAAAAUUUUUAACCUCUAUAGAUGGAGAAAAACAAGAUAUUCCAUGAUAAAAAAAAAAAUUAAACAAUAUCUAUUCACCAAUCCUGCUGUGGAAUUAAUAUUAGUCUCUAAGGUGUUUCUCUACCCCAGCUAGUUCCCAAAUAAUGGAGACAAAGAACUUUUUGUUUUACAAAGGCUUUAAGGCACCAUAACUGGACAAGUAUCAACCCUCUAAGCUGUUUUGCUCUUUCCCAGCUACACACCCAAGCUACUAGCUGGGCUGCUUCUGGUGCCUGGGCUGCUUCUGUUCCAUGAGGCCAGCCCUCAUGGCCUGGUGCUCAUAGUCCUUUAUGCUCCACUUCUUCUCUUGCCUCUACAUCUUCUGCUUCCUCUCUUCUGCCACAUCUUCUCUCUCCACCUCAUGGUCCUCAUCUUACUUACAGCCUGGGAAACUAAGCUCUGACUACUUCUCUCAUUCCCAGUUAGAGGUUUCAGCAACUGUAUUAACCAAUUAGAGAAUAUUGGAAAGCAAAGUUACACAAAGUCACACACAUACAACAUCACUUGGUAUGAGUGAAAAUGCACUCACCUAGGUAGCCAGAUCUUGGGACUAGUAAUUAGUGUUAGAAUACAUAGCAGCAGACUAACCCCCAACAAUAUCUUUCAAUAAAUACAGCCCUAAAGAAGAUACUAGAAGGAAAACUCCAACCCAAGGAUGUUAACAAAACCCAAGAAAAUACGAGAUAUCUGCUCGGAUGUAGCCCGUGGUAGCCCAGUAACCAUAGUAAAGGGAACAAGAACUAUUUCUAACAGGAACUCAAUGGCUGGCUCUUUGACCUCCCCAACCCCCAAGGGAGGAGCAGUCCUGCUAGGCCACAGAGGAGGACUUUGCAGCCAGUCCUGAAGAUACCUGAUAAAACAGGGUCAGAUUAGAGGGAAGGAGGUCCUUCCCAA